This 291-nucleotide ribosomal RNA is filed under the name Shigella flexneri. RNAcentral's name for it is "partial 16S ribosomal RNA". It matches the Rfam family "Bacterial small subunit ribosomal RNA", at positions 1 to 288 of the family's 1533-position model. Lineage: Bacteria; Pseudomonadati; Pseudomonadota; Gammaproteobacteria; Enterobacterales; Enterobacteriaceae. The record is from RNAcentral.
AAAUUGAAGAGUUUGAUCAUGGCUCAGAUUGAACGCUGGCGGCAGGCCUAACACAUGCAAGUCGAACGGUAACAGGAAGCAGCUUGCUGUUUCGCUGACGAGUGGCGGACGGGUGAGUAAUGUCUGGGAAACUGCCUGAUGGAGGGGGAUAACUACUGGAAACGGUAGCUAAUACCGCAUAACGUCGCAAGACCAAAGAGGGGGACCUUCGGGCCUCUUGCCAUCGGAUGUGCCCAGAUGGGAUUAGCUAGUAGGUGGGGUAACGGCUCACCUAGGCGACGAUCCCUAGCU